Nerophis ophidion (straightnose pipefish) is the source of this 9312-nucleotide long non-coding RNA. RefSeq lists it as uncharacterized. The transcript is spliced from 2 exons. Lineage: Eukaryota; Metazoa; Chordata; Actinopteri; Syngnathiformes; Syngnathidae. The record is from RefSeq and is a predicted model, not a curated record.
CUAAGGUUAAAGUUUUCGUUGUAUAUUAGUGCGACCCCUCCACCCCUUUUAAGCGGACGGGCAAUAUGCGCAUGUGUAAAGUUAGGAGGACAUGCCUCAUUUAGCGCAAAAAAGUCGUUUGGUUUAAGCCAGGUUUCACUGAGACCGAUGACGUUAAGAUUGUUGUCUCUGAUAAUAUCAUUAACUAAUAACGUUUUGGGAGACAAUGAUCUUAUGUUUAAAAAACCUAUAUUAUAUGUUUAAUCUGUGUUUUGUGUGUUAAGUGUGUUUCAGUGUGUUUAAUCCGUGUUUUGUGUAUGUUCUUGUGGAUGUUUAAGGUUGUUCAAACGUGUUUGUGUUUUUAAUUGUGUUUAUGUGUGUUUAAGAGUUUUUAUCUUUGUUUUGUGUCGGUUUUUGUGUGUUUAAGUGUGAUUGUGUGUUUAACUGACAUUUUGUGUUUAUGUGUGUGCUUUGUGAUUUCUAUCUGUGUUUUGUGUAUGUUCAUGUGUUUGUAAUUGCCUGUUUAAGUGUGUUUUAGUAUGUGUUAAAGGUUGUGUUACUUUGCAUUUAAGUGUGUUUUGUGUAUGUACUUGUGUGUGUUGAUGUGUGUUGUUUGUGUGUUUAUUUUGUGUUUAAGUGUGUUUUAUCUGUGUUCUCUGAAUGUCAUUGUGUUUUAUCUGUGUUCUCUGUAUGUCCUUGUGUGUUAUUGUGUGUUUUAUCUGUGUUCUCUGUAUGUCCUUGUGUGUUUGUGUGUAAUUGUUCGCUUGUGUUUUUAUUUUGUGUUUGUGUGUGUUUAAGUGUGUUUUAUCUGUGUACUGUGUAUGUCCUUGUGUGAAUGUGUGUUUAGUGUGUGUUAUUGUUUGUUUGUGUGUUUAAGUGUGUUCCAUAUGUGUUGUGUGUUCGUUCAUGUGUGUUUUUGUGUGUUUGAUGUGUUUUGUGUAUGUUGAUGUGCAUGUUGGUGUGUUUAAGUGGAAUUAGUGUGUGUUUAAGUGAGUGUGUUUCUUUGUUGUUUGUACUUCUGUGUUUAAAUGUGUGUUUUUGUGUCUGAGUUUACCUGUGUUUUGGGUUUGUUCACGUGUGUAUUAGUGUGUGUUUUAUGUAUUUUUACUGUGUGUUAAGUGAGUUGGUUUUGUGUUCGUGUAUGUUCAUGUAUGUUUAAGUGUAUUGCGUUGUAUGUGUGUUUUGUUUGUUUGUUCAUGUUGUGUGUUUAAGUGGGUUUUGUGUAUGAUUGAGUUUUUCAUUUGUGUUUUGUGUACAAUUUAAGUGUUUUUUUAAGGUGUUUAGUGUGUCUAUGUGUGUGUUUUAUCUGUGUUUUGUGUACGUUCAUAUGUCUAAGUGUGUUUAGUGUGUGUUGAUGUGUCUAAGUGUGUUUUGUCUGUGUUUUGUGUAUGUUCUUAUGUGUGUUUAUUAUGUUUUAUGUGUGUUUUGUGUACGUUCUUAUGUGUUUUUAGUAUUUUUAUGUGUGUUUUGUGUAUGUGCAUGUGUGUGAAGUGUUUUUCUGUUUAAAUGUGUUAAGUGUGUGUUCAUGUGUUUAAGUGUUUAAAUGUGUUUCGUUUGUUCGUGUGUGUUAUUGUUUGUUUUAGAGUUUUGUGUGUUUAAGUGUGUUUUAUCUGUGGGCUCAUGUGGGUUAAGUAGGUGUGUUGAGUGUUUAUGUGUAAGUGUCUUUCGUGUGUGUUUAUGUGUGUGUUUAAGUGUUUUAUCUGUGUUGUGUGUUUGUUCAUCCAUCCAUUUUCUACACCUUCUCCCUUUUUCCUGUGUGUGUUAUUGUGUGUUUAAGUGUUUGUGUGUUUCAGCGUAUUUAGAGUGUGUUUGUGUGUGUUUUACCUAUUUUUGUGUGUGUUCAUAUGUGUGUUUUUGUGUGUUAAUGUGUGUUUAAGUGUGUUUUACCUGUUUUGUGUAUGUUCAUGUUUGUGUUUAAGUCUGUGAGUUUGUGUCUGUUGAUGUGUGUGUUUAGUGUGUGUUAAAGUGUUUUUGUGUUUUAAUGUGAGUCUGAUUGAUUUAUAAUUUGUUUAAGUGUAUUUUAUCUGUGUUUUGUGUACAUUCAUGUGUGUGUGGUUUUCUGUGUGUUAUUGUGUGUUGAUGUGUUAGUGCGUCUUGCAGCAUGUGCACCAUCCAGUGUGUCGGCAAGUGUUGUGUUGCAAGUUGGUCAUGUGUGUGCUUAUGUGUUAAUGUGUGUUUGCGUGUUAAGUGUGUGUUUGUGUGUUAGUGUGUGUGUGUGUUUUGUCUGUGUUAUUGUGUUAAGUGUAGUUUGCGUGUGUUUAUGUUUCGAGAUGGUUGGUAUGUGUUAAUUGUGGGGUUGUGCGUGUCCGUGUGUGUUUAGUGUUUUGGUGUGUGUCUGUGCAUCUUACUGCGUGUGCAUCGUCCAGUGUGUCAGCAAUGUUGAAUUGGAUGUUGGUUGUGUGUGUGUGUGUGUUUUGUAUGUGUUGAUUUGUGUUUAAGUGUGUCUAAUCUGUGUUUUGUGUAUGUUAUUGUGUGUUUAAGUGUUUUUGUUCGUUUAUUGUGUGUUCAUAUGUAUUUAAGUUGGUUUUCUGUGUUUCGUGUACAUUCUUGUGUGUGUUGUUUUAUUGUGUUGUUGUAUUUAGUGUCUGUUCAUGUGUGUUAAUAUGUGUUAGUGCAUCUCGGCGCAUGUGCAUCAUCCAGUGUGUCGGUGAGUGUUGUGUUGCAUGUUGGUCGUGUGUGUGUUUUGUCUGUGUUUGUGUAUUUAAGUGUGUUUCGUAUAUGUUUAUGCUUGUGUUGAUGUGUGUUUAAGUGUGCUUUUAUCUGUGUUAUGUGUAUAUGUCCAUGUGCAUGUUAUUGUGUAUAUAAGGGUUUUUGUGUGUUUAAUCUGUGUUUUGUGUACGUUCUUGUGUGUGUGUAUGUGUGUUAUUACUGUGGGUUUAUGAUUGAUUAAGUGUGUUUAUCUGUUUUGUUAAUGCUCAUUAUAUGUUUGUGCGUUUAAGUGUGUUUUUGUGUGUUUUUACAUUUUUUGUGUACGUUCUUGUGGGUGUUGUUUUGUGUGUUUUUGUGUGCGUUGACAUGUAUUUUGUGUAUGUUCUUGUGUGUGUUGUUCUGUAUCUGUGUGUGUGUUUUUGUGUGUCAGUAUGUGUCAAUCCAUCUUGCAGCAUGUAUGGUGUGUGUGUGUGCUUGUGUCUGUUUAUGUGUUAAGAGUGUGUUUCCUGUGUGCUGAUGUGUGUUAGUGUGUGUUUUUGUGUUAGGUGUUUUUUUGUGUUUACGUUGAGUGUGUGUGUGUUUUAAUGUGUGUCUAAGUGUGUUUUUUUUCUGUUUUGUGUAUGUUCCUGUGUGUGUUUAGUGUGUGUCUAAUUGUGUUUCAUCUCUGUUUUUUGUACGUUUUUGUGUGUAUAUAUGUUUAAGUGUGUUUUCUGUAUUUUGUGUACAUUCUUGUGUGUGUUGGUUUGUGUUUGUGUGUUUAGUGUGUGUUUAUUUGUGUUAAUAUGUGUCAGAGCAUAUUGCAGCAUGUGCAUCAUCCAGUGUGUCGGCGAGUGUUGUGUUGCAUGUUGGUCGUGUGUGUGUGUUGAGUGUGUGUUUACUGUGUGUUGAUGUGUGUUUUUGUGUUAGGUGUGUUUAUGUUUGUGUGUGUUGUGACUUUUAUUGUGUGUUAAUGUGUGUUUAGUGUGUUAGUGUGUGUCGGUGCAUCUUGCUACAUGUGAAUUGUCCAGUGUGUCAGCGACUGUUGUGUGUGUGUUUGCGUGUGUGUGUGUGUGUGUUCCUGUGUGUGUUUAAGUGUGUUUAGUGAGUGUUUAAGUGUUUAGUGUAUGUCUUAUUGUGUUUUAUUUCUGUUUUGUGUACGUUAUUGUGUGUUGAUAUGUUUUUAACUGUGUUUUCUGUGUUUUGAGUACGUUUUUGUGUGUGUUUGUGUGUUUAGUUUGUGUUUAGUGUGUUAAUAUGUGUCAGCGCAUCUCGCAGCAUGUCCAUCAUCCAGUGUGUCGGAGAGCGUUGUGUUGAAUGUUUGCCGUGCUUGUGUGUGUUAGUGUGUUUACUGUGUGUUGAUGUGUGUUUUUGUGUUUUGUGUGUGUUAAUGAUUAUGUGUGUGUUGUGGCUAUUAGUGUGUGUUAAUGUGUGUUUAGUGUGUUAGUGUGUGUCGGUGCAUCUUGCUACGUGUGAAUUGUCCAGUGUGUCCGCAAGUGUUGUGUUGCAUGUUGGGUGUGUGUGUGUGUGUGUGUGUUUGUGUUCCUGUGUGUGUUUAAGUGUGUUUAGUGAGUGUUUAAGUGUUUAGUGUAUGUCUUAUUGUGUUUUAUUUCUGUGUUGUGUACGUUAUUGUGUGUUGAUAUGUUUUUAACUGUGUUUUCUGUGUUUUGUGUAUGUUCUUGUGUGUGUUUGUGUGUUAAGUGUGUGUUUAGUGUGUUAAUAUGUGUCAGCCCAUCCCCGCAGCAUGUCCAUCAUCCAGUGUGUCAGAGAGCGUUGUGUUGAAUGUUUGCCGUGCUUGUGUGUGUUAGUGUGUUUACUGUGUGUUGAUGUGUGUUUUUGUGUUAAGUGUGUUUUGUGUGUGUUAAUGUUUAUGUGUGUUGUAGCUAUUAGUGUGUGUGAAUGUGUGUUUAGUGUGUUAGUGUGUGUCGGUGCAUCUUGCUACGUGUGAAUUGUCCAGUGUGUCCCCAAGUGUUGUGUUGCAUGUUGGGUGUGUGUGUGUGUGUUCCUGUGUGUGUUUAAGUGUGUUGAGUGAGUGUUUAAGUGUUUAGUGUAUGUCUUAUUGUGUUUUAUUUCUUUUUUGUGUACGUUAUUGUGUGUUGAUAUGUUUUUAAGUGUGUUUUCUGUGUUUUGUGUACGUUCUUGUGUGUGUUUGUGUGUUUAGUGUGUGUUAAUGUGUCAGCGCAUCUUUCAGCAUGUCCAUCAUCCAGUGUGUCGGCGAGUGUUGUGUUGCAUGUUUGUCGUGAUUCUGUGCUAGUGUGUUUACUGUCUGUUGAUGUGUGUUAGUGUGUGUUUUUGUGUUAGGUUUGUUUUGUGUGUGUUAAUGUUUAUGUGUGUGUUGUGACUGUUACUGUGUGUUAAUGUGUGUUCAGUGUGUUAGUGUGUGUCGGUGCAUCUUGCUAUGUGUGUAUCUUCCAAUGUGUCAGCCAGUGUUGUGUUGCAUGUUGGGUGUGUGUGUGUGUGUGUGUGUGUGUGUGUGUGUGUGUGUGUGUGUGUGUGUGUGUGUGUGUGUGUGUGUGUGUGUGUGUGUGUGUGUGUGUCCGUGAGAAGAACACUCGGGUGCAGGAGGCCUCUGCAGUAUUCUUGUGCCUUCCUGUUUAAUCACAUUUGCGGAGCUUCCCAAAACGCGGAGGAGGCAGAUGACCUGGAGUCGGGCGCUCAUAUGCUCACUGGUCACAUCUCUUCCCACGUGGCCACGCCCCCUCAGGACUGUGCCGCUCCUGGCUGUCUGUCACCGCUCAGCUCCAACUCCGGAAAGGAUCCAGCUCCGGGUUUUGUGCGAGAUCAGCACAGCCUGGAUCUUACCUGGAAUGUCAGCCUCUUACGUAACACACACUUUUUUGGGCCUCCGUCUGAGCACACACACACACACACACACACACACACACACACACACACACACACACAGACACACACUCCUGUAUUUGUGACCUUCUUGAGACCCGAGAAAAAAGCCUACCUCUUUAGAACCACGCUUCCUAGGUAUAUAAAGAUGUGUAUUUACAACAUUAAUAAUAUAUACACAUACUAUGCAAGUAUAAAAUAGCUUGUUGUGAAAAAUGAGUUGGAAUUUCACAAAAAAAAAGGUCAAAAUUUCACAAGAAAAACUGAACAUUUUGGCAGUAUUAUAAUAAAAGACGUCACUUUACUCAACAAAAGUCAAAAUUGACAAGAAAAACAACAUCUGUGCAAUAUUGUGAUAAAAGUUGACAUUUUAUUAAAUAAUAGUCACAAUUUUACAAUAGAAGCUUGAAAUUUAGGCAAUUUUAUAAAAAGAGCCGUAAUUUUGUUUGACAAAAGUCACAAUUUUAUAAGAAAACUUUAAAAUGUUGGCAAUGUUAUAACAAUAAUUGGAAUUUUACUUGGCAAAAUUAUGACAAAAGUCAUCAUUUUACUCAAAAAAUGUCACUAUUUUAUAAAAAAAAAAAAAAAAAAAAUAGGCAAUAAUGUGAUAAAAGUCAGAAUUUCAAAUAAAAAAGUAAUAAUUCAUGAGAAAAUUUGCAAUAUUACGGAAACAGAAAGAAUAUGAGAAGUUGUUCCCAUUUUUAUAAGAAAGAAGUCGACAGAUUGUGAGAAAAAGACUGCUUGUAGUUUGUUUGUUUCUCCCGAAUUUUUUGUUUGUAAUUGGUUUUUAAUCUUCAUUAUUUAUUUCAAGUUAUUACAGUACCUCUCUAUAGAAUUUUUUUUAAUUUUUUAUUUAUUUUUUUUUUUUUAACGAAGGGGGCACAUUUCAAUUUUUGAUAGACACUUGUUAUUUCAUAUGUUGACCAGACAGGUAGCACUUCAAAUAUUUUUAACACACACUUGUUAUUUCAUAUGUUGACCAGAGGAGAGCACUUCUAAAACAGACACACAGUCAAUUUGAAAAAUCCCUCCUUUUUGGGACCACCCUCAUUUUGAUAGAUAUCACCAGAUGGGGUGCAAAUGAGACAUUCUGUAUUAGAUGCAAUGCUUUUCCGUAUUGGAACCAUGAUUUAUGUCCUCACUUGUUCACACCUCCUCAUAUGGAAGGUACUUUUCCUAGAUGUCUCAAGAAUGGUAUAAUUACAAGAACACACACGCACACACAUUCUUGUAUUUGUUACCUUCUUGAGACCUGAGAAAAAAGCCUACCACUUUAGGACCACCCUUUCUAGAUGUAUAAAGAUGUGUAUUUACAACAUUAAUAAUAUAUACAUACUAUGCAAAUAUAAAAAAACGCUUGUGAAAAAUGACUUGGAAUUUCACACAAAAAAGGUCAAAAUUUCACAAGAAAAACUGAACAUUUUGGCAGUAUUAUAAUAAAAGACGUAAUUUUACUCAACACAAGUCAAAAUUUACAAGAAAAACAGAACAUUUGUGCAAUAUUGUGAUAAAAGUUUAAAUUUUACUCAAUAACAGUCACAAUUUUACAAGAGAAGCUUGAAAUUUAGGCAAUUUUAUAAAAAUAGUCGUAAUUUUGUUUGACAAAAGUCCCAAUUUUAUAAGAAAACUUUAAAAUGUUGGCAAUGUUAUAACAAUAAUCGGAAUUUUACUUGGCAAAAUGAUGACAAAAGUCAUCAUUUUACUCAAAAAAUGUCACUAUUUUAUAAAAAAAAAGGCAAUAAUGUGAUAAAAGUAGGAAUUAAAAAAAAAAAAGUAAUAAUUCACGAGAACAUUUUGCAAUAUUACGGAAACAGAAACAAUAUGAGAAGUUGUUCCCAUUUUUAUAAGAAAAAAGUCGACAGAUUGUGAGAAAAAGACUGCUUGUAGUUUGUUUUUUUUCCUGAAUUUUUUGUAUGUAGUUGGUUUUUAAUCUUCAUUAUUUAUUUCAAGUUAUUACAGUACCUCUCUAUAGACUUUUUUUUAAUUUUUUUGACCAAAGGGGGCACAUUUCAAUUUCUGAUACACACUUGUUAUUUCAUAUGUUGACCAGAGGGGAACACUUUUAAAACUGACACACAGUCAAUUUGAAAAAUCCCUCAUUUUUGGGACCACCCUCAUUUUGAUAGAUUUCACCAGCUGGGGUGCAAAUGAGACAUUCUGUAUUAGAUGCAAUUGUUUUCCUUAUUAAGACCAUGUUUUAUGUCUGAACUUGUUCACACCUCCUCAUAUGGAAGGUACUUUUCAUGGAUGUCUCAAGAAGAGUACGAUUACAAGAACACGCACGCACACACAUUCUUUUAUGUGUUACCUUCUUGAGACCUGAGAAAAAAGCCUACCUCUUUAGAACCACGCUUUCUAGCUAUAUAAAGAUGUGUAUUUACAACAUUAAUAAUGUAUGCAUACUAUGCAAGUAUAAAAUAGCUUGUUGUGAAAAAAGAGUUGGAAUUUCAAAAAAAAAGGUCAAAAUUUCACAAGAAAAACUGAACAUUUUGGCAGUAUUAUAAUAAAAGACGUCAUUUUACUCAACACAAGUCAAAAUUUACAAGAAAAACAGAACAUUUGUGCAAUAUUGUGAUAAAAGUUUAAAUUUUACUCAAUAACAGUCACAAUUUUACAAGAGAAGCUCGAAAUUUGGGCAAUUUUAUAAAAAGAGUCGUAAUUUUGUUUGACAAAAGUCCCAAUUUUUUAAGAAAACUUUAAAAUGUUGGCAAUGUUAUAACAAUAAUCGGAAUUUUACUUGGCAAAAAAUGUCACUGUUUUAUAAAAAAAAAAAAAAAAUAGGCAAUAAUGUGAUAAAAGUCAGAAUUUUAAAUAAAAAAGCAAUCAUUCACGAGAAAAUUUUGCAAUAUUACGGAAACAGAAAGAAUAUGAGAAGUUGUUCCCAUUUUUAUAAAAAAGCAGUCGACAGAUUGUGAGAAAAAGACUGCUUGUAGUUUGUGUUUUUUUCCUGAAUUUUUUGUUUGUAGUUGUUUUUUAAUCUUCAUUAUUUAUUUCAAGUUAUUACAGUACCUCUCUAUAGACAUUUUUUUUUUGACCAAAGGGGGCACAUUUCAAUUUCUGAUACACACUUGUUAUUUCAUAUGUUGACCAGAGGGGGAGCACUUUUAAAACAGACACACAGUCAAUUUGAAAAAUCCCUCCUUUUUGGGACCACCCUCAUUUUGAUAGAUUUCACCAGAUGGGGUGCAAAUGAGAAAUUCUCUAUUAGAUGCUGUGGUUUUCCGUAUUGGGACCAUGAUUUAUGUCCUCACUUGUUCACACCUCCUCAUAUGGAAUGUACUUUUCUUUAUUGAUGUCUUAAGAAGGUUAGAAAUACAAGAACACACACACACACACACACACACACACACGCACACACACACACACAGGUGACACAUGAGUGACAUGACUGAACUGACUAGAGCUCGGUGACCUUCUUCUUCAUCGCCAUCAUCCGAGGAAGAUGACGUCGUCGCUGUCGGGUGUUCCGAUAAAAGUGACAACAAGUGGGCGAUAACCUUUCCUCUGUCAAGUGUCUGUUCUCCAAAAAAAAAAAAAAAAACACAAAAUGUUAGCAUGUCUAUAACGGCGAUGAGGAUCCAAAUGCUACUGAGCUAAAAGGUCAGCAAAAGGUGACAAACGUUAUGAAAAGUGUCACCUGAUAACACUUUGUUUAAUUUUAGAAGUUUAUUUUACAGUGAAGACCGAUCUCGUAGAAGCUAACCACGCAUAACGACAACAAUGGCCGCCUCGCUAGCCGUGUUAGCAGUUACCAGUGAGGAGGGCACAGAAACUCAAUUCACAUCCGAAUGGCAAUUCUUGUUCAUCCAUGUUGUAAAUACAUUGACAAUUUUCAAAAAUAUAAUAAAAAGUAUUAAUUAAAACAUC